UGUUGUGUUAGGAAAUGCAGCUUACCGACUUAGAAAGUGUUGACGUUGCAGUGAAGUUUACGCAUGCGCGAAGUUUAAUACGAUUUACAUGGAAACGUUAAUAUGUCAGAUGACUGGUCUCUGUUGUUUCCCAGGACACGAAGCCAGCGAGGGGAGUGCUGUCCAGUAAAAAGCUCGGCAAGAGGGCCAAUAAAAAGGUUUCCUCUCAUCCGGCCGCCAAUAAACCGGUCCUCGGGUUCCUUUCACACGGAAUUAUUCCAUCCAGCCGACAUCGAGCGUGCCUCGCUACGAGCACAG
This is a long non-coding RNA of Pomacea canaliculata, 297 nucleotides long. RefSeq lists it as uncharacterized. NCBI's taxonomy places the organism in Eukaryota, Metazoa, Mollusca, Gastropoda, Architaenioglossa, Ampullariidae. The record is from RefSeq and is a predicted model, not a curated record. The transcript is spliced from 2 exons.